This 253-nucleotide ribosomal RNA is filed under the name uncultured bacterium. Its description in RNAcentral is "partial 16S ribosomal RNA". It matches the Rfam family "Bacterial small subunit ribosomal RNA", at positions 524 to 776 of the family's 1533-position model. The record is from RNAcentral.
UACGUAGGGUGCAAGCGUUAAUCGGAAUUACUGGGCGUAAAGCGUGCGCAGGCGGUUUUGUAAGUCUGUCGUGAAAGCCCCGGGCUCAACCUGGGAAUUGCGAUGGAGACUGCAAGGCUUGAAUCUGGCAGAGGGGGGUAGAAUUCCACGUGUAGCAGUGAAAUGCGUAGAGAUGUGGAGGAACACCGAUGGCGGAGGCAGCCCCCUGGGUCAAGAUUGACGCUCAUGCACGAAAGCGUGGGGAGCAAACAGG